AUGGUGUACGACACGGAGGAGAUCAUCGAGAGGGCACACCGUGGCAUCUUGGACUACAUCAAGCACGCGCUUACCCUCUUCACCAACUUCGUCGCCGUCCUCAUCCGAGUCCUCGUCAUCAUGGGGUUUUUGACAGCAUUGUUCUGCGGAUCCCCAACCCGUCCCGAUCCGCGACCUUUGAUCUCCAACCACCAUGAUGUGCCCCAGAUCCGCAGCCUUCGACCUCCACCUCCACCUCCUGCCGCGUGCCCGGAUCGGCGGCCUACCUCUCAUGCACCUCCGCUGGCCACUGAGUGCCAUCACUGCCCUUCCUUCACCUUGGCCUUGGCUUCAGUCCGGUUGCACCUGCGACGACCACAUCUUCCUUGUCCCCCUUCUUGCCAAGAUCCGCUGCAGGUUCAAAUCCCUUCAGUUCACUUCGAUCUCUCCCUAGUAAGUUCAGUGUGUGUCAAUGGAAUUGUUUUUACCCAAAAUGUGGCAGUGAUCUCUGUAUUCUGCGAACAGCCCCUGCUGUGGCAUCGUUGUUGUUUGUGCUCAGUACAAAAUUAA
This 549-nucleotide ribosomal RNA is filed under the name Triticum aestivum (bread wheat). RNAcentral describes it as "partial small subunit ribosomal RNA". The record is from RNAcentral. Lineage: Eukaryota; Viridiplantae; Streptophyta; Magnoliopsida; Poales; Poaceae.